UUCUUACGGGGGGCAGCAGUGAGGAAUAUCGGUCAAUGGCCGGAAGGCUGAACCAGCCAAGCCGCGUGAAGGACGAAGGUGCCAAGCAUUGUAAACUUCUUUUGUCAAGGGACAAAAUCAGGCUCGAGAGCCUGACCGAGGGUACUUGAAGAAAAAGCAUCGGCUAACUACGUGCCAGCAGCCGCGGUAAUACGUAGGUGGCAAGCGUUAUCCGGAUUUAUUGGGCGUAAAGGGAACGCAGGCGGUCUUUUAAGUCUGAUGUGAAAGCCUUGGGCUUAACCGGAGUAGCGCAUUGGAAACUGGGG
This 305-nucleotide ribosomal RNA is filed under the name uncultured bacterium. Its description in RNAcentral is "bacterial SSU rRNA". It matches the Rfam family "Bacterial small subunit ribosomal RNA", at positions 336 to 638 of the family's 1533-position model. The record is from RNAcentral.